CUUCUCAUCCCGAUAAUUUUUUGCUUUGUAUGUUAUGUAAUAACGAUCUUGCUGUUAUUCUAUGAAUUUAAUAUUGUUGCUUCGAAAUACACGUCUUCGAGAUUU
This is a long non-coding RNA of Melitaea cinxia (Glanville fritillary), 105 nucleotides long. RefSeq lists it as uncharacterized. The record is from RefSeq and is a predicted model, not a curated record. NCBI's taxonomy places the organism in Eukaryota, Metazoa, Arthropoda, Insecta, Lepidoptera, Nymphalidae. The transcript has 2 exons.